GUUUUAUACAAUAUACAAUGUAUAUUCACUUUUACUACCAACUGAUAAAUUAAAACAAUCUUUACCAUUCAGUGAUAACAAGCACUUUAUUUUCGUUUUAAUAUUUUGUGAUGUAUUUAAAUGAGUAGUUAUUGUUGCAAACUCCAUUAGAAAUUUGAAUUGAGAUCAAUUUUGGAAAAAGGGAAAGGGGGAUGUGAAAAAAAAAGGGGGGUUAAAUUUUUCUUAUUUCAGAUUUCAUAAAUAAAAAGAAAAUUUUUCAACAGCAUAGUGAAUUGCUCAAAGGCAAAAAAAAUAUUUUAAGUUCAUUAGACCACAUCCAUUCUGUGUCAGAAACCUAUGCUGUGUCAACUAUUUAAUCACAAUCCAAAUUUAGAUCUGAAUCCAGCUUGAAUGUUGUGUCCAUACUUGCCCCAACCGUUCAAGGUUCAACCUCUGCGGUCGUAAAAAGCUGCGACCUG
Molecule: long non-coding RNA, 458 nt
Filed under: Mytilus galloprovincialis (Mediterranean mussel)
Lineage: Eukaryota; Metazoa; Mollusca; Bivalvia; Mytilida; Mytilidae
Source: RNAcentral